UUCCGGUUGAUCCUGCCAGAGAUCACUGCUAUCGGUGUUCGACUAAGCCAUGCGAGUCAAAUGUUCUUCGUGAACAUGGCGUACUGCUCAGUAACACGUGGAUAACCUGCCCUUAGGUCUGGCAUAACCCCGGGAAACUGGGGAUAAUUCCGGAUAGAUCAUCGAUGCUGGAAUGCGCUUUGAUCCAAAGCUAUUGUGCCUAAGGAUGGGUCUGCGGUCUAUCAGGUUGUAGUGGGUGUAAUGUACCUACUAGCCUACGACGGAUACGGGUUGUGGGAGCAAGAGCCCGGAGAUGGAUUCUGAGACAUGAAUCCAGGCCCUACGGGGCGCAGCAGGCGCGAAAACUUUACAAUGCGGGGAACCGCGAUAAGGGGACACCGAGUGCCAGCAUCCUAUGUUGGCUGUCCAUAUGUCUAAAUCACAUGUGUUAGCAAGGGCCGGGCAAGACCGGUGCCAGCCGCCGCGGUAACACCGGCGGCCCGAGUGGUGGCCACUAUUAUUGGGUCUAAAGGGUCCGUAGCCGGUUUGGUCAGUCUUCCGGGAAAUCUGACGGCUCAACCGUUAGGCUUUCGGGGGAUACUACCAGGCUUGGGACCGGGAGAGGUAAGAGGUACUACGGGGGUAGGAGUGAAAUCUUGUAAUCCCUGUGGGACACCAGUGGCGAAGGCGUCUUACCAGAACGGGUCCGACGGUGAGGGACGAAAGCUGGGGGCACGAACCGGAUUAGAUACCCGGGUAGUCCCAGCUGUAAACUAUGCUCGCUAGGUGUCAGGGACGGUGCGACUGUCUCUGGUGCCGCAGGGAAGCCGUGAAGCGAGCCACCUGGGAAGUACGGCCGCAAGGCUGAAACUUAAAGGAAUUGGCGGGGGAGCACCACAACGGGUGGAGCUUGCGGUUUAAUUGGACUCAACGCCGGGA
RNAcentral lists this ribosomal RNA (918 nucleotides) under uncultured bacterium. RNAcentral's name for it is "bacterial SSU rRNA". It matches the Rfam family "Archaeal small subunit ribosomal RNA", at positions 1 to 923 of the family's 1478-position model. The record is from RNAcentral.